RNAcentral lists this ribosomal RNA (579 nucleotides) under Scinax fuscovarius (snouted treefrog). RNAcentral's name for it is "partial 16S ribosomal RNA". It matches the Rfam family "Bacterial large subunit ribosomal RNA", at positions 1839 to 2619 of the family's 2925-position model. Lineage: Eukaryota; Metazoa; Chordata; Amphibia; Anura; Hylidae. The record is from RNAcentral.
UAAAAUAAGAAGGGUCCAGCCUGCCCAGUGACAAAUGUUCAACGGCCGCGGUAUCCUAACCGUGCGAAGGUAGCGUAAUCACUUGUUCUUUAAAUGAGGACUAGUAUGAAUGGCACCACGAGGGUUGCACUGUCUCCUUUCCCUAAUCAAUGAAACUAAUCUCCCCGUGAAGAAGCGGGGGUACUAAUAUAAGACGAGAAGACCCUAUGGAGCUUUAAAUUUCUCUUCAAACGCCAGACACAAACAUCUGACACUUUACAUUAACCCGACGCCUUGAAGAUGAAUUUUAGGUUGGGGUGACCAUGGAGAACAAAAUAACCUCCACGCUGAAAAGGCCUCCAAGCCUUGAGCCAAGGGCUACAACCCAACGCACUAAAAAAUUAACACCCAUUGACCCAAUAUUUUUGAUCAACGAACCAAGUUACCCUAGGGAUAACAGCGCAAUCUACUUCAAGAGUCCCUAUCGACAAGUGGGUUUACGACCUCGAUGUUGGAUCAGGGUAUCCCAGUGGUGCAGCCGCUACUAAAGGUUCGUUUGUUCAACGAUUAAAACCCUACGUGAUCUGAUUUCCAAACCGG